This 403-nucleotide ribosomal RNA is filed under the name uncultured bacterium. Its description in RNAcentral is "partial 16S ribosomal RNA". It matches the Rfam family "Bacterial small subunit ribosomal RNA", at positions 29 to 526 of the family's 1533-position model. The record is from RNAcentral.
AUUGAACGCUGGCGGCAGGCCUAACACAUGCAAGUCGAGCGAGCGGCGGACGGGUGAGUAAUGUAUGGGGACUGCCCGAUAGAGGGGGAUAACUACUGGAAACGGUGGCUAAUACCGCAUACUAUCGGAUAACCCAUAUGGGAUUAGCUAGUAGGUGGGGUAAAGGCUCACCUAGGCGACGAUCGCUAGCUGGUCUGAGAGGAUGAUCAGCCACAGAGGGACGGCGAUAACGCCCAGACUCCGACGGAGGCGGAAGGUGGGGAUAUGGGACAAUGGUCGAAAGCCUGAUGCAGCGACGCCGCGUGGGGGAUGAGGGUUUUCGGGUUGUAAACCUCUUUCGCUAUCGAAAGGGUAGGUGGAGAAGAAGCGCCGGCUAACUACGUGCCAGCAGCCGCGGUAAUUC